CUACGGGGCGCUGCAGUGGGGAAUAUUGGACAAUGGGCGCAAGCCUGAUCCAGCAAUGCCGCGUGUGUGAAGAAGGCCUUCGGGUUGUAAAGCACUUUUGUUAGGGAGGAAAGUCUGGUAGCUAAUAACUGCUAGAUCUGACGUUACCUAAAGAAUCAGCACCGGCUAACUCUGUGCCAGCAGCCGCGGUAAUACAGAGGGUGCAAGCGUUAAUCGGAAUUACUGGGCGUCAAGGGUCUGUAGGCGGAUUAUUAAGUCGGAUGUGAAAUCCCCGGGCUCAACCUGGGAACGGCAUUCGAUACUGGUAGUCUAGAGUGUGCAAGAGGAUGGGGGAAUUCCUGGUGUAGCAGUGAAAUGCGUAGAGAUCAGGAGGAACAUCAAUGGCGAAGGCACCUUUCUGGGGCGACACUGACGCUGAGAGACGAAAGCGUGGGGAGCAAACAGGAUUAGAUACCCUGGUAGUC
This 464-nucleotide ribosomal RNA is filed under the name uncultured bacterium. RNAcentral's name for it is "partial 16S ribosomal RNA". It matches the Rfam family "Bacterial small subunit ribosomal RNA", at positions 339 to 795 of the family's 1533-position model. The record is from RNAcentral.